This 492-nucleotide ribosomal RNA is filed under the name uncultured bacterium. RNAcentral describes it as "partial 16S ribosomal RNA". It matches the Rfam family "Bacterial small subunit ribosomal RNA", at positions 29 to 507 of the family's 1533-position model. The record is from RNAcentral.
AGUGAACGCUGGCGGUAGGCCUAACACAUGCAAGUCGAACGGCAGCACAGUAAGAGCUUGCUCUUACGGGUGGCGAGUGGCGGACGGGUGAGGAAUACAUCGGAAUCUACUUUUUCGUGGGGGAUAACGUAGGGAAACUUACGCUAAUACCGCAUACGACAUACGGGUGAAAGCAGGGGAUCUUCGGACCUUGCGCGAUUGAAUGAGCCGAUGUCGGAUUAGCUAGUUGGCGGGGUAAAGGCCCACCCAGGCGACGAUCCGUAGCUGGUCUGAGAGGAUGAUCAGCCACACUGGAACGGAGACACGGUCCAGACUCCGACGGGAGGCAGCAGUUGGGAAUAUUGGACAAUGGGCGCAAGCCUGAUCCAGCCAUACCGCGUGGGUGAAGAAGGCCUUCGGGUUGUAAAGCCCUUUUGUUGGGAAAGAAAAGCAGCAGGUUAAUACCCCGCUGUUCUGACGGUACCCAAAGAAUAAGCACCGGCUAACUUCGUG